GUGGGGAAUAUUGGACAAUGGGCGAAAGCCUGAUCCAGCCAUGCCGCGUGUGUGAAGAAGGUCUUCGGAUUGUAAAGCACUUUAAGUUGGGAGGAAGGGCAGUAAGUUAAUACCUUGCUGUUUUGACGUUACCGACAGAAUAAGCACCGGCUAACUUCGUGCCAGCAGCCGCGGUAAUACGAAGGGUGCAAGCGUUAAUCGGAAUUACUGGGCGUAAAGCGCGCGUAGGUGGUUCAGCAAGUUGAAGGUGAAAUCCCCGGGCUCAACCUGGGAACUGCCUCCAAAACUGCAUGACUAGAGUACGGUAGAGGGUAGUGGAAUUUCCUGUGUAGCGGUGAAAUGCGUAGAUAUAGGAAGGAACACCAGUGGCGAAGGCGACUACCUGGACUGAUACUGACACUGAGGUGCGAAAGCGUGGGGAGCAAACAGGAUUAGAUACCCCGGUAGUCC
RNAcentral lists this ribosomal RNA (450 nucleotides) under uncultured bacterium. RNAcentral describes it as "partial 16S ribosomal RNA". It matches the Rfam family "Bacterial small subunit ribosomal RNA", at positions 354 to 796 of the family's 1533-position model. The record is from RNAcentral.